AGAGUUUGAUCAUGGCUCAGGACGAACGCUGGCGGCGUGCCUAAUACAUGCAAGUCGAGCGAAGUGGAGGAAGCUUGCUUCCAAAGCUUAGCGGCGAACGGGUGAGUAACACGUGGGCAACCUGCCCGAUAGACCGGGAUAACUUGGGGAAACUCAAGCUAAUACCGGAUAGGAUCAUUGACCGCCUGGUUGGUGAUGGAAAGUCUGAACGACACUAUCGGAUGGGCCCGCGGCGCAUUAGCUAGUUGGUGGGGUAACGGCCUACCAAGGCGACGAUGCGUAGCCGACCUGAGAGGGUGACCGGCCACGCUGGGACUGAGACACGGCCCAGACUCCUACGGGAGGCAGCAGUAGGGAAUCUUCCACAAUGGGCGAAAGCCUGAUGGAGCAACGCCGCGUGAGUGAUGAAGGUUUUCGGAUCGUAAAACUCUGUUGUUAGGGAAGAACACCCGGGAGAGGAUCCCGGUUUGACGGUACCUGACGAGAAAGCCCCGGCUAACUACGUGCCAGCAGCCGCGGUAAUACGUAGGGGGCAAGCGUUGUCCGGAAUUAUUGGGCGUAAAGCGCGCGCAGGCGGCUUACUAAGUCUGGUGUGAAAGCCCACGGCUCAACCGUGGAGGGCCAUUGGAAACUGGUAAGCUUGAGUGCAGGAGAGGAGAGCGGAAUUCCUGGUGUAGCGGUGGAAUGCGUAGAUAUCAGGAGGAACACCCGUGGCGAAGGCGGCUCUCUGGCCUGUAACUGACGCUGAGGCGCGAAAGCGUGGGGGAGCAAACAGGAAUUAGAUACCCUGGUAGUCCACGCCGUAAACGAUGAGUGCUAAGUGUCGGGGGUGACCAACCCUCGGUGCUGUCGCUAACGCAAUAAGCACUCCGCCUGGGGAGUACGGCCGCAAGGCUGAACUCAAAUGAAAUUGACGG
Molecule: ribosomal RNA, 917 nt
Filed under: uncultured bacterium
Lineage: Bacteria
Description: bacterial SSU rRNA
Rfam family: Bacterial small subunit ribosomal RNA
Source: RNAcentral